GUUUUUCUUAUCUUUUGUUGCUUUUCUCUCGGGAUUAGUGACUCUGGGUAGAUUUGAGAUAUGAAUGCGUGCAUUCUCUCUUGAAAUUGAUUGCUGCCUUUGAUGGUGACUUUUUGUGUUUGAAUAGAACUUUGUUCUCGAUUACGCUUAGAGGAGCUGUCGUUUUGGUAGUCCAUAACCUUGAGGCUUUUCUUUGAAGAGUCUGAA
RNAcentral lists this unclassified non-coding RNA (207 nucleotides) under uncultured fungus. RNAcentral's name for it is "sequence contains ITS2". The record is from RNAcentral. Lineage: Eukaryota; Fungi.